Molecule: transfer RNA, 74 nt
Filed under: bacterium (Candidatus Gribaldobacteria) CG_4_10_14_0_2_um_filter_33_15
Lineage: Bacteria; Candidatus Gribaldobacteria
Also listed under: 3 other names
Description: tRNA-Met
Rfam family: tRNA
About the family: Transfer RNA (tRNA) molecules are approximately 80 nucleotides in length. Their secondary structure includes four short double-helical elements and three loops (D, anti-codon, and T loops). Further hydrogen bonds mediate the characteristic L-shaped molecular structure. tRNAs have two regions of fundamental functional importance: the anti-codon, which is responsible for specific mRNA codon recognition, and the 3' end, to which the tRNAs corresponding amino acid is attached (by aminoacyl-tRNA synthetases). tRNAs cope with the degeneracy of the genetic code in two manners: having more than one tRNA (with a specific anti-codon) for a particular amino acid; and 'wobble' base-pairing, i.e. permitting non-standard base-pairing at the 3rd anti-codon position.
Source: RNAcentral
AGCGGGGUGGAGAAGUAGUAUCUUGCGAGGCCCAUAACCUCGAGACGCUGGUGCAAUUCCAGCCCCCGCAACCA